AAAAAUCGGCAAAAUGGCCCCGUAACUUCGGGAGAAGGGGUGCCACCGCGAGGUGGUCGCAGUGAAGAGGCCCAGGCGACUGUUUACCAAAAACACAGGUCUCCGCUAAGUCGCAAGACGAUGUAUGGGGGCUGACGCCUGCCCAGUGCCGGAAGGUUAAGGAAGCUGGUCAGCGCAAGCGAAGCUGGCGACUGAAGCCCCGGUGAACGGCGGCCGUAACAAUAACGGUCCUAAGGUAGCGAAAUUCCUUGUCGGGUAAGUUCCGACCCGCACGAAAGGCGUAACGAUCUGGGCGCUGUCUCGGAGAGAGGCUCGGCGAAAUAGAAUUGUCUGUGAAGAUGCGGACUACGUGCACCCGGACAGAAAGACCCUAUGAAGCUUUACUGUAGCUUGGUAUUGUGCUCGGGCUCGGAAUGCGCAGGAUAGGUGGGAGGCUUUGAUCCAUUGCUUGCGGGUGAUGGUGAGCCACUGGUGAGAUACCACUCUUUCCGAGCUAGAGUUCUAACAGCAACCCGUUAUCCGGGUGCUGGACAGUAUCAGGUGGGCAGUUUGACUGGGGCGGUCGCCUCCUAAAAGGUAACGGAGGCGCGCAAAGGUCUGCUCAGGCUGGUUGGAAAUCAGCCGACGAGUGUAAAAGCAGAAGCAGGCUUGACUGUGAGACCUACAAGUCGAACAGGGAGGAAACUCGGCUUUAGUGAUCCGACGGUUCUGCGUGGAAGGGCCGUCGCUCAACGGAUAAAAGUUACUCUAAGGAUAACAGGCUGAUCUCCCCCAAGAGUUCACAUCGACGGGGAGGUUUGGCACCUCGAUGUCGGCUCAUCGCAACCUGGGGCUGAAGUCGGUCCCAAGGGUUGGGCUGUUCGCCCAUUAAAGCGGUACGCGAGCUGGGUUCAGAACGUCGUGAGACAGUUCGGUCCAUAUCCGGUGCACGCGCAGGAAUAUUGAGAGGAUUUCUCCCUAGUACGAGAGGACCGGGAGGAACGCACCUCUGGUGUGCCAGUUAUCGUGCCAACGGUAAACGCUGGGUAGCCAUGUGCGGAGUGGAUAACCGCUGAAAGCAUCUAAGUGGGAAGCCCACCUCAAGAUGAGUAUUCCCAUGGCAUAAGCCAGUAAGGUCACGGGAAGAACACCCGUUGGUAGGCUCUACGUGGAAGCGCAGUAAUGUGUGAAGCGGAGGAGUACUAAUAGACCGAGGGCUUC
This 1200-nucleotide ribosomal RNA is filed under the name metagenome. RNAcentral describes it as "bacterial LSU rRNA". It matches the Rfam family "Bacterial large subunit ribosomal RNA", at positions 1709 to 2925 of the family's 2925-position model. The record is from RNAcentral.